AUUGGGGUUUGGGGAUUGAGGAUGGAGCAGUGAGUGCAAGUAAUAUUGUGUUGAGGGUUUCUUUCUUUCUUUCUUUUGAGGGAAAAGAAGAAACUGUAGAGUGUUUUUGUUGUUAGAAGGGAAAGAGGAGAAGAGGACAACUUGGGAGGUGGGGCCACUCCAUACUUUGGUUCUUUUUUCUUUCUUCUUUUCUUCAAAAGGGUUCUGUGUUGUGCUUAUCUUUUCUUUAAAACUCACUUCAACCUUCUGAAUUCCUUCUAUGUAGGUGCCAUGUAAAAUGUAAUGGACCGAUAUUCUAAUUACUGCCGGAAGUUUGACAUGCCAUUGCCAAAGAGAAUGUGAUCUACUACAAUGCCCACAAGAUUAAAAAAGGCAGUUUAGAAGUUGCUACUGCUAAAUACCUCCAUUAUAUAAAAUCAUGUAAAUAUGUCUUUCUUUUCUUCUCUAUACAUACAUAUUCUUCAUAAAAUGACAACAAAUUCAACAUUUGCAACUUUCCUACCAAACCAAGACUUGAUGCUUUAUGGUACAUUCAUAUUUUCUUUUUAUUUUCUUAGUGGUGAUCCCAAUCAAAACUAGAUCAUAUGUGCAAACAAAUUCUCAACACCUCUACAAACUCUCAGCUAUGGCCACCAAGCUUAUUUAUCCUAGUGUUGCAGGCUUUAUAAAUGAGAACUCAUCUCCUUCUUUAGUUUGAAUUGUACUGUGGGGUUGCUCUGUUUCAGCGAUUUGUUGUAUUUCAUCUCCAUCUUUUACAUCAACAUUAAUCGAUUCACUUGUUGACGCUUGUGUAGGUGUUGCUAAUGGAUCCCCCUCGUAAUCAGAUGACUCAAGGUCCUCAUACGUAGGCACACGUAUGGAGUGUCCUGUAGUUUUAAACCGUCGCAAUGAGUGUAGAGGUGAAGCAUUUGAACUACCUCCGAGGGUUUUAGUUGCUGAGGCU
Molecule: long non-coding RNA, 943 nt
Filed under: Cucumis sativus (cucumber)
Lineage: Eukaryota; Viridiplantae; Streptophyta; Magnoliopsida; Cucurbitales; Cucurbitaceae
Description: long non-coding RNA (CSAT_LNC000819)
Source: RNAcentral